RNAcentral lists this unclassified non-coding RNA (300 nucleotides) under uncultured fungus. RNAcentral's name for it is "sequence contains 5.8S rRNA gene, ITS2". The stretch from base 1 to 71 matches the Rfam family "5.8S ribosomal RNA", at positions 84 to 154 of the family's 154-position model. Lineage: Eukaryota; Fungi. The record is from RNAcentral.
GUGAGUCAUCGAAUCUUUGAACGCACAUUGCGCUUCCUGGUAUUCCGGGGAGCAUGCUCGUUUCAGAAUCAUUAAAAUCUCACAACCGCCAUAUAUGGUUUUGACCUGUGGAGGUAGUGGAUUUGAGUGCUUUGUUUGAAUCCAGACAAUCACUUUAAAAUGAUUUUGUACGUAUCACUUGCCCACAUCGUUGAGUUACUAACAGUGCGACAAUACUUGUAUCACUUUUGGUAUGCUUGGAUUGGACAUUUUGAUUGUACACCACAUUAAUACAUUGCGGACGUAAAGUCAGCUUUGAAA